GACGAACGCUGGCGGCGUGCUUAACACAUGCAAGUCGAACGAGACGAUUGGAAGCUUGCUUUUAAAAGUCGAGUGGCAAACGGGUGAGUAACGCGUAGACAACCUGCCUUUGAGAUGGGGACAACAGUUCGAAAGGACUGCUAAUACCGAAUGUUGUAUAUUUUCCACAUGGAAGAUAUAUUAAAGAUGGCCUCUAUUUAUAAGCUAUCGCUCAAAGAUGGGUCUGCGUCUGAUUAGCUGGUUGGUGGGGUAACGGCCUACCCAGGCGACGAUCAGUAGCCGGUCUGAUAGGAUGAACGGCCACAUUGGGACUGAGACACGGCCCAGGCUCCUACGGGAGGGAGCAGUGGGGAAUCUUCCACAAUGGACGAAAGUCUGAUGGAGCAACGCCGCGUGAGUGAAGAAGGGUUUCGGCUCGUAAAGCUCUGUUGUCGGGGACGAAUGUGCAGUAUUUGAAUAAAGUACUGUAAUGACGGUACCUGACGAGGAAGCCACGGCUAACUACGUGCCAGCCGCCGCAGUAA
Molecule: ribosomal RNA, 524 nt
Filed under: uncultured bacterium
Lineage: Bacteria
Description: partial 16S ribosomal RNA
Rfam family: Bacterial small subunit ribosomal RNA
Source: RNAcentral